GGGCCCGCACAAGCGGUGGAGCAUGUGGUUUAAUUCGAUGAUACGCGAGGAACCUUACCAGGACUUAAAUGUAAGUUGCAUGAUUCAGAAAUGAAUCUUUCUUCGGACUACUUACAAGGUGCUGCAUGGUUGUCGUCAGCUCGUGCCGUGAGGUGUCAGGUUAAGUCCUAUAACGAGCGCAACCCCUAUCGUUAGUUGCCAUCAAGUAAAGUUGGGAACUCUAGCGAAACUGCCGGUGUAAACCGAGAGGAAGGUGGGGAUGACGUCAAAUCAUCACGGCCCUUACGUUCUGGGCUACACACGUGCUACAAUGGUCGGUACAGAAAGCAGCCACUAUGCGAAUAGGAGCUAAAUCUUUAAAAACCGAUCUCAGUUCGGAUCGCAGUCUGCAACUCGACUGCGUGAAGCUGGAAUCGCUAGUAAUCGCGGAU
Molecule: ribosomal RNA, 431 nt
Filed under: uncultured bacterium
Lineage: Bacteria
Description: bacterial SSU rRNA
Rfam family: Bacterial small subunit ribosomal RNA
Source: RNAcentral